GAUGAACGCUGGCGGCGUGCUUAACACAUGCAAGUCGAACGGUGAAGGCGGAGUUUGCUCUGCUGGAUCAGUGGCGAACGGGUGAGUAUCACGUGAGCAAUCUGACCACGACUCUGGGCUAAGCGCUGGAAACGGCGUCUAAUACAGGAUACGAGCUGAGCAGGCAUCUUAAGCAGCUGGAAAGAAUUUCGGUCAGGGAUGAGCUCGCGGCUUCGCAGCUUGUUGGUGAGGUCAUGGCCCACCAAGGCGUCGACGAGUAGCCGGCGUGGGAGGGUGACCGGCCACAGUGGGACUGAGACACAGCCCAGACUCCGACGGGAGGCAGCGGUAGGGGAUGUUACACUAUGGGCGAGGGCCUAAGGCAGCAACGCCGCGGGAGGGAGGACGGCGUUCGGGUUGGAGACCUCUUUUAGCAGGGAAGGAGCGGAAGUAACGAUGCCUGCAGAAAAAGCGGCAGCUGACAACGUG
RNAcentral lists this ribosomal RNA (468 nucleotides) under uncultured bacterium. RNAcentral's name for it is "partial 16S ribosomal RNA". It matches the Rfam family "Bacterial small subunit ribosomal RNA", at positions 28 to 507 of the family's 1533-position model. The record is from RNAcentral.